AGUGGGAUAGCUGGGUCAAAUGGUAUUUCCAGUCCAAGUUUUCUGAGGAAUCUCCAUACUGCUUUCCAUAACUGUUAAACCAAUUUGCAGUUCCACCAGCAAU
RNAcentral lists this microRNA precursor (103 nucleotides) under Marmota monax (woodchuck). The record is from RNAcentral. Lineage: Eukaryota; Metazoa; Chordata; Mammalia; Rodentia; Sciuridae.